GGUAAAAUGACUGAGAUUUAUAGGUGAUAAAUUGUAAAUUUAUUAAGGAGAAUUAUUCUCUUUUACCA
RNAcentral lists this transfer RNA (68 nucleotides) under Theopropus elegans. Its description in RNAcentral is "tRNA-Tyr". The record is from RNAcentral. Lineage: Eukaryota; Metazoa; Arthropoda; Insecta; Mantodea; Hymenopodidae.